GCUGCGGCGUGCCACACAUGCAAGUCGACGGAGCUAGACGCUGAUGAAUAGCUUGCUAGGAAGUCUGUUUAGCUUAGUGGCGGACGGGUGAGUACGCGUGAGCAACCUGCCUUUCAGAGGGGGAGUAACGUUUGGAAACGAACGCUAAUACCGCAUGAUAUUAAAGGGCUGCAUGGCCUGAUAAUCAAAGGAGCAAUCCGCUGAAAGAUGGGCUCGCGUCCGAUUAGGUAGUUGGUGAGGUAACGGCCCACCAAGCCGACGAUCGGUAGCCGGACUGAGAGGUUGAACGGCCACAUUGGGACUGAGACACGGCCCAGACUCCUACGGGAGGCAGCAGUGAGGGAUAUUGGUCAAUGGGGGAAACCCUGAACCAGCAACGCCGCGUGAGGGAGGACGGUUUUCGGAUUGUAAACCUCUGUCCUCUGUGAAGAUGAUGACGGUAGCAGAGGAGGAAGCUCCGGCUAACUACGUG
Molecule: ribosomal RNA, 472 nt
Filed under: uncultured Oscillospiraceae bacterium
Lineage: Bacteria; Bacillati; Bacillota; Clostridia; Eubacteriales; Oscillospiraceae
Description: bacterial SSU rRNA
Rfam family: Bacterial small subunit ribosomal RNA
Source: RNAcentral